RNAcentral lists this ribosomal RNA (756 nucleotides) under Bacillus stratosphericus. Its description in RNAcentral is "bacterial SSU rRNA". It matches the Rfam family "Bacterial small subunit ribosomal RNA", at positions 47 to 784 of the family's 1533-position model. Lineage: Bacteria; Bacillati; Bacillota; Bacilli; Caryophanales; Bacillaceae. The record is from RNAcentral.
CCCUAUUACAUGCAAGUCCGAGCGGACAGAAGGGAGCUUGCUCCCGGAUGUUAGCGGCGGACGGGUGAGUAACACGUGGGUAACCUGCCUGUAAGACUGGGAUAACUCCGGGAAACCGGAGCUAAUACCGGAUAGUUCCUUGAACCGCAUGGUUCAAGGAUGAAAGACGGUUUCGGCUGUCACUUACAGAUGGACCCGCGGCGCAUUAGCUAGUUGGUGAGGUAACGGCUCACCAAGGCGACGAUGCGUAGCCGACCUGAGAGGGUGAUCGGCCACACUGGGACUGAGACACGGCCCAGACUCCUACGGGAGGCAGCAGUAGGGAAUCUUCCGCAAUGGACGAAAGUCUGACGGAGCAACGCCGCGUGAGUGAUGAAGGUUUUCGGAUCGUAAAGCUCUGUUGUUAGGGAAGAACAAGUGCAAGAGUAACUGCUUGCACCUUGACGGUACCUAACCAGAAAGCCACGGCUAACUACGUGCCAGCAGCCGCGGUAAUACGUAGGUGGCAAGCGUUGUCCGGAAUUAUUGGGCGUAAAGGGCUCGCAGGCGGUUUCUUAAGUCUGAUGUGAAAGCCCCCGGCUCAACCGGGGAGGGUCAUUGGAAACUGGGAAACUUGAGUGCAGAAGAGGAGAGUGGAAUUCCACGUGUAGCGGUGAAAUGCGUAGAGAUGUGGAGGAACACCAGUGGCGAAGGCGACUCUCUGGUCUGUAACUGACGCUGAGGAGCGAAAGCGUGGGGAGCGAACAGGAUUAGAUA